GACAGUCGAGAUGAAAGAAGAGCUAGUAUAUGGUAGCCUUCAGCUACACCUCCUGAGAUGGGCUGCUGAGGGAUGGUCUCUGUCACCGCACUGGGGGUUCCUGGCACAGCUGGGAUCCUCACAGUUAUCUUGCUUCUUUUCCACCAUCUCCAACUCAACAGGAGAUCAAAGGAUGUUCCACCCAUAGUAAAUCAAGCCAGAGACUGCCAGUCUGGAGAACACAGCCAACGGACAACUGAAGGGAAAAUUAACACAACUGCACUUUCAUCAGCAACAGAGGUUAAUAAUGUUUUAAGAGUAGAAGUCACAUUUUCACUGGGUUCACAAUUACAAAAAUGGAGUCUGUGGUUUAGACAUCCAAUAAA
Long non-coding RNA from Corapipo altera (White-ruffed manakin), 365 nucleotides. RefSeq lists it as uncharacterized. The transcript has 3 exons. The record is from RefSeq and is a predicted model, not a curated record. Lineage: Eukaryota; Metazoa; Chordata; Aves; Passeriformes; Pipridae.